Molecule: unclassified non-coding RNA, 160 nt
Filed under: fungal sp.
Lineage: Eukaryota; Fungi
Description: partial internal transcribed spacer region
Rfam family: Eukaryotic small subunit ribosomal RNA (bases 1-46)
Source: RNAcentral
AAGUCGUAACAAGGUUUCCGUAGGUGAACCUGCGGAAGGAUCAUUAACAAAUCUCUACACACGAUCCCGGGCGCAAGCCUGGGCAUCUACACACGAUAACGUUGACGAAGCUCUAGACGACUAAAGCAAACAACUUUUAACAAUGGAUCUCUUGGCUCUU